Molecule: ribosomal RNA, 436 nt
Filed under: uncultured bacterium
Lineage: Bacteria
Description: bacterial SSU rRNA
Rfam family: Bacterial small subunit ribosomal RNA
Source: RNAcentral
UACGGAAGGCAGCAGUGGGGAAUAUUGCACAAUGGGCGCAAGCCUGAUGCAGCCAUGCCGCGUGUAUGAAGAAGGCCUUCGGGUUGUAAAGUACUUUCAGUCGUGAGGAAGGUGUUAAGGUUAAUAACCUUAGCAAUUGACGUUAGCGACAGAAGAAGCACCGGCUAACUCCGUGCCAGCAGCCGCGGUAAUACGGAGGGUGCGAGCGUUAAUCGGAAUUACUGGGCGUAAAGGGCACGCAGGCGGUUAAUUAAGUUGGAUGUGAAAUCCCCGGGCUUAACCUGGGAAUGGCAUUCAAGACUGGUUAGCUAGAGUCUUGUAGAGGGGGUAGAAUUCCAUGUGUAGCGGUGAAAUGCGUAGAGAUGUGGAGGAAUACCGGUGGCGAAAGGCGGCCCCUGGACAAAGACUGACGCUCAUGUGCGAAAGCGUGGGGAGC